UGGGGAAUAUUGCACAAUGGGCGCAAGCCUGAUGCAGCCAUGCCGCGUGUAUGAAGAAGGCCUUCGGGUUGUAAAGUACUUUCAGCGGGGAGGAAGGGAGUAAAGUUAAUACCUUUGCUCAUUGACGUUACCCGCAGAAGAAGCACCGGCUAACUCCGUGCCAGCAGCCGCGGUAAUACGGAGGGUGCAAGCGUUAAUCGGAAUUACUGGGCGUAAAGCGCACGCAGGCGGUUUGUUAAGUCAGAUGUGAAAUCCCCGGGCUCAACCUGGGAACUGCAUCUGAUACUGGCAAGCUUGAGUCUCGUAGAGGGGGGUAGAAUUCCAGGUGUAGCGGUGAAAAGCGUAGAGAUCUGGAGGAAUACCGGUGGCGAAGGCGGCCCCCUGGACAAAGAAUGACGAUCAGGUGCGAAAGCGUGGGGAGCAAACAGG
RNAcentral lists this ribosomal RNA (429 nucleotides) under Chloroflexota bacterium. RNAcentral describes it as "Chloroflexi bacterium partial 16S ribosomal RNA". It matches the Rfam family "Bacterial small subunit ribosomal RNA", at positions 355 to 776 of the family's 1533-position model. The record is from RNAcentral. Lineage: Bacteria; Bacillati; Chloroflexota.